AUGUCUUUAGUUCAGAUGGAAGAACAUAGGUUUCCAAAACCUAACGUCGUAGGUUCAAAUCCUACAAGACAUG
Molecule: transfer RNA, 73 nt
Filed under: Euglena longa
Lineage: Eukaryota; Euglenozoa; Euglenophyceae; Euglenales; Euglenaceae
Description: transfer RNA-Trp (CCA)
Rfam family: tRNA
About the family: Transfer RNA (tRNA) molecules are approximately 80 nucleotides in length.
Source: RNAcentral